RNAcentral lists this unclassified non-coding RNA (445 nucleotides) under Diabrotica virgifera virgifera (western corn rootworm). Its description in RNAcentral is "uncharacterized LOC114324223". The record is from RNAcentral. Lineage: Eukaryota; Metazoa; Arthropoda; Insecta; Coleoptera; Chrysomelidae.
GAUAUCUAAACAGAAUAUUAGUUUUUUGUGAAUGAAUUUUUCGUACAAGCAAUUUUUUCGUAUUAUAAUUCCCAACACCCGUGCAGUUACCCGCCACCGGUAGAGAUAAAACGAACUCCAGACUUCAUUCGACAUCGCCAAACAAACGAAAAUUGUUACAAAAGCCUACGGACCGUAGGCCGCGAAACAACGCUUUUCUACAGACUCUCAUCUGUUUUUCUCGUCGAAAGUGCUCGGUGGUUUUUCACAAAAACAAAUGAGAAAAUAAAAUAAGCUAGAAUCUACAACGCCAUAUUGGAACCAAACCAAAGAUAUAAUACGAGUUAACCCCGUCAAAGUAGAAGAAAUGGCUUCAGAUUUAAUAGCACCGGCUGUUGUCGUUGUAGGCCUAUUUGUUAUAAAUGCCGCAGUUCUCUUCCUCAUCCGGAGGGCAAGAAAAAGGUAA